This 252-nucleotide ribosomal RNA is filed under the name uncultured bacterium. Its description in RNAcentral is "partial 16S ribosomal RNA". It matches the Rfam family "Bacterial small subunit ribosomal RNA", at positions 524 to 776 of the family's 1533-position model. The record is from RNAcentral.
UACGUAGGGUGCAAGCGUUGUCCGGAAUUAUUGGGCGUAAAGAGCUCGUAGGCGGUCUGUCGCGUCGGAUGUGAAAACCCAGGGCUCAACCCUGGGCCUGCAUUCGAUACGGGCAGACUAGAGUUCGGUAGGGGAGACUGGAAUUCCUGGUGUAGCGGUGAAAUGCGCAGAUAUCAGGAGGAACACCGGUGGCGAAGGCGGGUCUCUGGGCCGAAACUGACGCUGAGGUGCGAAAGCGUGGGAGCAAACAGG